RNAcentral lists this ribosomal RNA (254 nucleotides) under uncultured bacterium. RNAcentral describes it as "partial 16S ribosomal RNA". It matches the Rfam family "Bacterial small subunit ribosomal RNA", at positions 524 to 776 of the family's 1533-position model. The record is from RNAcentral.
UACGUAGGGCGCAAGCGUUAUCCGGAAUUAUUGGGCGUAAAGAGCUCGUAGGCGGUUUGUCGCGUCUGCCGUAGAAAGUCCGGGGCUCAACUCCGGAUCUGCGGUGGGUACGGGCAGACUAGAGUGAUGUAGGGGAGACUGGAAUUCCUGGUGUAGCGGUGAAAUGCGCAGAUAUCAGGAGGAACACCCGUGGCUAAGGCGGCUCUCUAGUACGGUACUGACGCUGAGACGCGAAAGCAUGGGGAGCGAACGGG